GUAGGUGGCAAGCGCUGUCCGGAAUUAUUGGGCGUAAAGCGCGCGCAGGGCGGUUCUUUAAGUCUGAUGUGAAAGCCCACGGCUCAACCGUGGGGGGUCAUUGGAAACUGGAGAACUUGAGUACAGAAGAGGAAAGCGGAAUUCCACGUGUAGCGGUGAAAUGCGUAGAGAUGUGGGGGAACACCAGUGGCGAAGGCGGCUUUCUGGUCUGUAACUGACGCUGAGGCGCGAAAGCGUGGGGAGCAAACAGGAUUAGAUACCCUGGUAGUCCACGCCGUAAACGAUGAGUGCUAAGUGUUAGGGGGUUUCCGCCCCUUAGUGCUGCAGCUAACGCAUUAAACACUCCGCCUGGGGAGUACGGCCGCAAAGGCUG
This 373-nucleotide ribosomal RNA is filed under the name uncultured organism. Its description in RNAcentral is "partial 16S ribosomal RNA". It matches the Rfam family "Bacterial small subunit ribosomal RNA", at positions 527 to 896 of the family's 1533-position model. The record is from RNAcentral.